GAGGGCGUGGGGUAACAGCUAGCCUGUCGGUCUCCAAAACCGAAAGUCCAGGUUCGAAUCCUGGCGCCUUCGCCG
Molecule: transfer RNA, 75 nt
Filed under: Nitrospirota bacterium
Lineage: Bacteria; Pseudomonadati; Nitrospirota
Description: Nitrospirae bacterium tRNA-Trp
Rfam family: tRNA
About the family: Transfer RNA (tRNA) molecules are approximately 80 nucleotides in length.
Source: RNAcentral